UACGUAGGAGGCGAACGUUAUUCGGAUUUACUGGGCGUAAAGCGGGCGUAGACGGCUUCUUAAGUCGGGUGUGAAAUCUCCUGACUCAAUUAGGAGAGGUCAUUCGAUACUAAGAGGCUGGAGGACGGUAGAGGAAAGCGGAACUCCCGGUGUAGCGGUGAUAUGCGUAGAUAUCGGGAGGAACACCAGUGGCGAAGGCGGCUUUCUAGGCCGUUCCUGACGUUGAGGCCCAAAAGCGUGGGGAGCGAAACGG
Molecule: ribosomal RNA, 253 nt
Filed under: uncultured prokaryote
Description: partial 16S ribosomal RNA
Rfam family: Bacterial small subunit ribosomal RNA
Source: RNAcentral